UGCAGUCGAACGGCAGCACGGGUGCUUGCACCUGGUGGCGAGUGGCGAACGGGUGAGUAAUACAUCGGAACAUGUCCUGUAGUGGGGGAUAGCCCGGCGAAAGCCGGAUUAAUACCGCAUACGAUCCACGGAUGAAAGCGGGGGACCUUCGGGCCUCGCGCUAUAGGGUUGGCCGAUGGCUGAUUAGCUAGUUGGUGGGGUAAAGGCCUACCAAGGCGACGAUCAGUAGCUGGUCUGAGAGGACGACCAGCCACACUGGGACUGAGACACGGCCCAGACUCCUACGGGAGGCAGCAGUGGGGAAUUUUGGACAAUGGGCGAAAGCCUGAUCCAGCAAUGCCGCGUGUGUGAAGAAGGCCUUCGGGUUGUAAAGCACUUUUGUCCGGAAAGAAAUCCUUGGCUCUAAUACAGUCGGGGGAUGACGGUACCGGAAGAAUAAGCACCGGCUAACUACGUGCCAGCAGCCGCGGUAAUACGUAGGGUGCGAGCGUUAAUCGGAAUUACUGGGCGUAAAGCGUGCGCAGGCGGUCUGUUAAGACAGAUGUGAAAUCCCCGGGCUCAACCUGGGAACUGCAUUUGUGACUGGCAGGCUAGAGUAUGGCAGAGGGGGGUAGAAUUCCACGUGUAGCAGUGAAAUGCGUAGAGAUGUGGAGGAAUACCGAUGGCGAAGGCAGCCCCCUGGGCCAAUACUGACGCUCAUGCACGAAAGCGUGGGGAGCAAACAGGAUUAGAUACCCUGGUAGUCCACGCCCUAAACGAUGUCAACUAGUUGUUGGGGAUUCAUUUCCUUAGUAACGUAGCUAACGCGUGAAGUUGACCGCCUGGGGAGUACGGUCGCAAGAUUAAAACUCAAAGGAAUUGACGGGGACCCGCACAAGCGGUGGAUGAAUGUGGAUUAAUUCGAUGCAACGCGAAAAACCUUACCUACCCUUGACAUGGUCGGAAUCCUGAAGAGAUUCGGGAGUGCUCGAAAGAGAACCGGCGCACAGGUGCUGCAUGGCUGUCGUCAGCUCGUGUC
Molecule: ribosomal RNA, 1018 nt
Filed under: Burkholderia sp.
Lineage: Bacteria; Pseudomonadati; Pseudomonadota; Betaproteobacteria; Burkholderiales; Burkholderiaceae
Description: bacterial SSU rRNA
Rfam family: Bacterial small subunit ribosomal RNA
Source: RNAcentral